This 1731-nucleotide ribosomal RNA is filed under the name Escherichia coli. RNAcentral describes it as "partial 23S ribosomal RNA". It matches the Rfam family "Bacterial large subunit ribosomal RNA", at positions 1 to 1774 of the family's 2925-position model. Lineage: Bacteria; Pseudomonadati; Pseudomonadota; Gammaproteobacteria; Enterobacterales; Enterobacteriaceae. The record is from RNAcentral.
GUUAAGCGACUAAGCGUACACGGUGGAUGCCCUGGCAGUCAGAGGCGAUGAAGGACGUGCUAAUCUGCGAUAAGCGUCGGUGAGGUGAUAUGAACCGUUAUAACCGGCGAUUUCCGAAUGGGGAAACCCAGUGUGUUUCGACACACUAUCAUUAACUGAAUCCAUAGGUUAAUGAGGCGAACCGGGGGAACUGAAACAUCUAAGUACCCCGAGGAAAAGAAAUCAACCGAGAUUCCCCCAGUAGCGGCGAGCGAACGGGGAGGAGCCCAGAGCCUGAAUCAGUGUGUGUGUUAGUGGAAGCGUCUGGAAAGGCGUGCGAUACAGGGUGACAGCCCCGUACACAAAAAUGCACAUAUUGUGAGCUCGAUGAGUAGGGCGGGACACGUGGUAUCCUGUCUGAAUAUGGGGGGACCAUCCUCCAAGGCUAAAUACUCCUGACUGACCGAUAGUGAACCAGUACCGUGAGGGAAAGGCGAAAAGAACCCCGGCGAGGGGAGUGAAAAAGAACCUGAAACCGUGUACGUACAAGCAGUGGGAGCCUCUUAAUGGGGUGACUGCGUACCUUUUGUAUAAUGGGUCAGCGACUUAUAUUCUGUAGCAAGGUUAACCGAAUAGGGGAGCCGAAGGGAAACCGAGUCUUAACUGGGCGUUAAGUUGCAGGGUAUAGACCCGAAACCCGGUGAUCUAGCCAUGGGCAGGUUGAAGGUUGGGUAACACUAACUGGAGGACCGAACCGACUAAUGUUGAAAAAUUAGCGGAUGACUUGUGGCUGGGGGUGAAAGGCCAAUCAAACCGGGAGAUAGCUGGUUCUCCCCGAAAGCUAUUUAGGUAGCGCCUCGUGAAUUCAUCUCCGGGGGUAGAGCACUGUUUCGGCAAGGGGGUCAUCCCGACUUACCAACCCGAUGCAAACUGCGAAUACCGGAGAAUGUUAUCACGGGAGACACACGGCGGGUGCUAACGUCCGUCGUGAAGAGGGAAACAACCCAGACCGCCAGCUAAGGUCCCAAAGUCAUGGUUAAGUGGGAAACGAUGUGGGAAGGCCCAGACAGCCAGGAUGUUGGCUUAGAAGCAGCCAUCAUUUAAAGAAAGCGUAAUAGCUCACUGGUCGAGUCGGCCUGCGCGGAAGAUGUAACGGGGCUAAACCAUGCACCGAAGCUGCGGCAGCGACACUAUGUGUUGUUGGGUAGGGGAGCGUUCUGUAAGCCUGUGAAGGUGGCCUGUGAGGGUUGCUGGAGGUAUCAGAAGUGCGAAUGCUGACAUAAGUAACGAUAAAGCGGGUGAAAAGCCCGCUCGCCGGAAGACCAAGGGUUCCUGUCCAACGUUAAUCGGGGCAGGGUGAGUCGACCCCUAAGGCGAGGCCGAAAGGCGUAGUCGAUGGGAAACAGGUUAAUAUUCCUGUACUUGGUGUUACUGCGAAGGGGGGACGGAGAAGGCUAUGUUGGCCGGGCGACGGUUGUCCCGGUUUAAGCGUGUAGGCUGGUUUUCCAGGCAAAUCCGGAAAACCAAGGCUGAGGCGUGAUGACGAGGCACUACGGUGCUGAAGCGACAAAUGCCCUGCUUCCAGGAAAAGCCUCUAAGCAUCAGGUAACAUCAAAUCGUACCCCAAACCGACACAGGUGGUCAGGUAGAGAAUACCAAGGCGCUUGAGAGAACUCGGGUGAAGGAACUAGGCAAAAUGGUGCCGUAACUUCGGGAGAAGGCACGCUGAUAUGUAGGUGAAGCGACUUGCUC